CUCUUUCUCUCUGCCUUUCUUCUAUAAAGCUCUAAAACCAUGGACUGUCUCUGCUCAUGGAGACUCGCCAUGUUAGGGCAACAGAGCGGGCUUUCCUCUAAAAUGCUGCAUCUAACCUCCUACCAAAGAAAGGCCUUCCUGAGCUCCAGCAACAGCCAUUAGCCAACCCAAGCUGCCCACUGAGCAAGCCAGACUCUCUCCUCCCCACAGUAACCUGCCAGGCCUCUCCCCCUACCCUCCCUUCGGCCCCUGGGCCAGAGUCUGUCUGAGGGCCCAUUCUCAGCUCUUCCACGACAUACAGGGAGGUCUGGGAGGUCUGAGCCUGAGAACCUCCUUAAGGCCCAGGGACCCCGGAUUGCUCCCUCUCUACCCCCUCGGACUGGGGUUCUGUGGCUUCCCACAGUUAGACAUCCAUCCACCCGGGCCACAUAGAGCACGGCAGUUUUCCCUGCCCCCCUUUAUUUCCUGAGACACGCUGCCCGACACAGGUGCUCUGCAUGGCAGCCAGCGAGGGGUGGGUGUACGUGAGAUCCUGAAGGAAACGGGCAAUGCAGCUGGACAAGUGACAUGGAGACACGGCAGCAUAGCCCAGAAGGAGGAAGACAGACCUGCAGACUGUCAUGCCACCCACAGGCCUGUCCUCCAGUGUACAGGUGGGCCACAGAAACCUGUUUGCUGACAGGCCACAUCGCAUGGAUGAAGUCACUCAGAAACCUGCCAGCCGAGUGGCCAGCCUAUAUCUGGAGCCAGCACAAUGUGCAAGCACGUGGUGGUCAGCAUGCACCAGGCUAGCCUUGGAGCUUCUGGAGACUCUCAGGUCUCUGCUGUCCAUCUCCACACAGGAGUGACACGAUUAUAGACAUGUGCUCGCACACCCGGUUUUCAUGGGUUCUGAAUCCUUACACGUGUACUACAUGAUGGGAUCUUCAGUGCGAUAGAGAUCACCUACUUCAACCCUUGCAGGAUCAGCACAGUGAAGGUGAUACUAAAAAAAAAAAGAGGUGGUCAAACCUCCGAAAAGAACCCCACCACUUUAGCUCUUCCACUUCAGCUCUUUGUUAUUUGCAAAGACGCCUCAUUAUGCAGAACCUGUGCUUCCAGGCUUCCAUCUGAGGACCAGUGACUCUUCAGGAACACUACAGGAACACCAGCUUAAUGUAGCUUGCAGGAAGCCUGACUACAGAGAGCUUUAUCACCACAGAAGGAGGUAAAAUGUGAAAGACAGCAUUCUCUUUGCAGGAGGUCCAUCUGAUCACAGACAACAGAGAGAACAGAGAACACAAAGAGCUACUGGCGCUUAUGGAUAACCAGAACUAAGAGAAGCUAUUCACUGGACUCCAAUUUCCAAGUCUCAUUUUUUGGUUGGCUUUGUUUGAUUUUUGGUUUGGUUUGGUUUGGUUUUUCAAGACAGGGUUUCUCUGUGUCCUGAAUUGUCCUGAACUCAAUUUGUAGACCAGGCUGGCCUCUGCCUGCCUCUUCCUCCUAAGUGCUGGGAUAAAAGCCAUGUGCCACUGCACCCAGCAAGUCUCAUUUCUUAUAUAAUUAAGUUAUAUUAGGAUGCUCCACCACCAGAAGUUACCCAGCUAAAUCAGUUACUUCUUUUUUGAUGUGACCAAAUGCCUGAUAGAAACAACUAGUUUUAUACUAACUUGACACAAGAUACAGUCCUUUAAAAGAGGCCAGCCCUCAAUUGAGAAAAUGUCCCUACCAUAGUAGUUUGUGAGGCAUUAUUUUGAACGAUGUUGAAAAAUCCAACUCACUGUGAGUAGAGCCAUCCCUGGGCUGGUGGUCCUGGGUUCUAUAAAAAAGCAGGCUGAGCAAGCCAUGGGGAAUAAGCCAGUAAGCAGCAUCCCUCCAGGGCCUCCAGGUUCCUCUAAUGGAAUGUGACUUUAGAGUUGUAAGCUGAAAUAAACCCUUUUCUCCCCAA
Long non-coding RNA from Mus musculus (house mouse), 1927 nucleotides. RefSeq annotates it as predicted gene, 41118. The transcript is spliced from 7 exons. The record is from RefSeq and is a predicted model, not a curated record. NCBI's taxonomy places the organism in Eukaryota, Metazoa, Chordata, Mammalia, Rodentia, Muridae.